GACUACUUCAUGCUAGCCCUUUGCUUCA
Molecule: small RNA, 28 nt
Filed under: Bombyx mori (domestic silkworm)
Lineage: Eukaryota; Metazoa; Arthropoda; Insecta; Lepidoptera; Bombycidae
Description: ovarian small RNA-15600
Source: RNAcentral